This 252-nucleotide ribosomal RNA is filed under the name uncultured bacterium. Its description in RNAcentral is "partial 16S ribosomal RNA". It matches the Rfam family "Bacterial small subunit ribosomal RNA", at positions 524 to 776 of the family's 1533-position model. The record is from RNAcentral.
UACGGAGGAUGCGAGCGUUAUCCGGAUUUAUUGGGUUUAAAGGGUGCGUAGGCGGGCUUUCAAGACAGCGGUAAAAAUUCGGGGCUCAACCCCGUCCGGCCGUUGAAACUGGGGGCCUUGAGUGGGCGAGAAGAAGGCGGAAUGCGUGGUGUAGCGGUGAAAUGCAUAGAUAUCACGCAGAACCCCGAUUGCGAAGGCAGCCUUCCGGCGCCCUACUGACGCUGAGGCACGAAAGUGCGGGGAUCGAACAGG